This 262-nucleotide ribosomal RNA is filed under the name uncultured Bacillota bacterium. RNAcentral describes it as "uncultured Firmicutes bacterium partial 16S ribosomal RNA". It matches the Rfam family "Bacterial small subunit ribosomal RNA", at positions 284 to 525 of the family's 1533-position model. The record is from RNAcentral. Lineage: Bacteria; Bacillati; Bacillota.
AGCCCGAGUUGAGAGACUGAUCGGGCCACAUUGGGACUGAGACACGGGCCCAAACUCCUACGGGAGGCAGCAGUAGGGGAAUCUUCCACAAUGGACGCAAAGUCUGAUGGAGCAAAACGCCGCGUGAGUGAAGUAAGGGUUUCGGCUACGUAAAAGCUCUGUUGUUGGUGAAGAAGGACAGGGGUAGUAACUGACCCUUUGUUUGACGGUAAUCAACUUAGAAAGUCACGGGCUAACUACGUGCCCAGCAGCCGCGGUAAAU